AGAGUUUGAUCCUGGCUCAGAACGAACGCUGGCGGCAGGCCUAACACAUGCAAGUCGAACGAGAAGCCACCUUCGGGUGGUGGACAGUGGCAGACGGGUGAGUAACGCGUGGAAACGUGCCUUUCGGUUCGGGAUAACCCAGGGAAACUUGGGCUAAUACCGGAUACGCCCUUCGGGGGAAAGAUUCAUUGCCGAAAGAUCGGCCCGCGUCGGAUUAGCUAGUUGGUGGGGUAAAAGCCUACCAAGGCGACGAUCCGUAGCUGGUCUGAGAGGAUGACCAGCCACACUGGGACUGAGACACGGCCCAGACUCCUACGGGAGGCAGCAGUGGGGAAUAUUGGACAAUGGGCGCAAGCCUGAUCCAGCCAUGCCGCGUGGGUGAAGAAGGCCUUAGGGUUGUAAACCCCUUUCAGCGGGGAAGAUAAUGACGGUACCCGCAGAAGAUC
This 446-nucleotide ribosomal RNA is filed under the name uncultured Microvirga sp. RNAcentral's name for it is "bacterial SSU rRNA". It matches the Rfam family "Bacterial small subunit ribosomal RNA", at positions 8 to 490 of the family's 1533-position model. Lineage: Bacteria; Pseudomonadati; Pseudomonadota; Alphaproteobacteria; Hyphomicrobiales; Methylobacteriaceae. The record is from RNAcentral.